AAGUCGUAACAAGGUUUCCGUAGGUGAACCUGCGGAAGGAUCAUUAUUGAAUAAACUUGGUCGAGCUGUUGCUGGUCCCUCGGGGCAUGUGCACGCUUGCCACCAAUUUUAACCACCUGUGCACCUUUUGUAGAUUGGAAACGUUUCUCGAGGCAACUCGGAUUGAGGACUGCUGUGCGCAAGCCAGCUGUUCUUGUGUUUCUCAAUCUAUGUUUUCAUAUACUCCAAAUGUAUGUAUCAGAAUGUAUUGUUAGGCCUCUGUGCCUUUAAAUCAAAUACAACUUUCAACAACGGAUCUCUUGGCUCUC
Molecule: unclassified non-coding RNA, 308 nt
Filed under: Clitopilus prunulus
Lineage: Eukaryota; Fungi; Basidiomycota; Agaricomycetes; Agaricales; Entolomataceae
Description: partial internal transcribed spacer region
Rfam family: Eukaryotic small subunit ribosomal RNA (bases 1-46)
Source: RNAcentral